CCGCCGCGAUCCCUGCGCACCACGGCCCUGCCCGCCACGGGGCGAGCCCGAUAAGAGGGCUGUGGACGUUCGGGUCUAGUUGGGAGAGACAGGGGUCCCUGACUCUUGAGCGGUCAGUCAUUUCCUCCCCAGUCCUUGUGGGUGACGUGGCUACGGUUUGGAGCAGCAAGCCCCCUCCCCGAACUAAAGGGCCUCUCCAAAGGUUAAGCCAGGGCAGUCAUUGAGGUCAAAACCAAUAUGUAGUUUCUUGACUGCAGGUGCCUGCACGACUCCCAGAAAGUCGCGUCUCCCCUAACCCCCAUGCCCAGGACCUGAGGACAAAGGUCUAGCGAUUGUCCAUCCCCUCCCCCAGUGAGGACAGCCGGGAAAGACCUGCCUUUGUUGUGUACAGGUGGUAUCUCACUGUGUUAUCCAGACUGGACUCAAAUUUCUGGGCUCCAAUGGUCCUCUCACCUCAGCCUCCCAAGUAGUCAGGACUACAGGUACACACUACUAACUCCAUGGCAAUGUUUUGAGGAUUAAAGAGGAGAGUGAUGACUAUCCAAACGUCAGAGAACGCAACUAUGAGACUAGAGACACUGGAAAACUAAAAAAGUAACGGGCCUUUGCUGACUCAGGGAGAUGAUUUCCCAAGAGGGAAGAAAACUGGAACCUGAGAAAUAAGUGAUUUAGUAAUGUGGCUGCUAAAAUACGGAAAAACUAGAAUGAAUGGCUUACACAUUUUUGAAAUGAAGUUAGAAGAGGGUUAUACUGUGAAGAAGAAUGAAAAAGCCAAACAUUUCAUUCAGGUAAGCAUAUCACAUAGGAGAAACUCUAGGUGACUUUGGUUUGGCAGUGAGUUUUUAGAUACAACACCAAAGCACAAUCCAUAAAAGAAAAGAAAGAUAGAUAAGUUGGACUUCAUUAAAAUGAA
RNAcentral lists this long non-coding RNA (913 nucleotides) under Homo sapiens (human). RNAcentral's name for it is "HSALNT0334035". Lineage: Eukaryota; Metazoa; Chordata; Mammalia; Primates; Hominidae. The record is from RNAcentral.